AGCAGCCGCCGCGGGAAAACGAGGGGUGCAAGCGUUAUUCGGAUUGAUUGGGUGUAAAGGGUGUGCAGACGGCUUAUUAAGUCACUUGUUAAAUUCUUCGGCCUAACUGAAGGUCUGCAAGUGAUACUGAUGAGCUAGAGGGUGGAAGAGAGAAGUGGAAUUCUCGGAGUAGGGGUAAAAUGCGUAGAUCUCGAGAGGAACACCAAUGGCGAAGGCAGCUUCUUGGUCCAUUCCUGACGUUCAUACACGAAAGCGUGGGGAGCAAACAGGAUUAGAUACCCGCGUAGUCCCUGUCUCUUAUAA
Molecule: ribosomal RNA, 303 nt
Filed under: uncultured bacterium
Lineage: Bacteria
Description: partial 16S ribosomal RNA
Rfam family: Bacterial small subunit ribosomal RNA
Source: RNAcentral